Molecule: long non-coding RNA, 4406 nt
Filed under: Daucus carota (carrot)
Lineage: Eukaryota; Viridiplantae; Streptophyta; Magnoliopsida; Apiales; Apiaceae
Description: long non-coding RNA (DCAR_LNC003073)
Source: RNAcentral
UUUGGCACUUCCAUCUCCCAGGAUCACGACUUUGUCUCUCGGUGGAGCAGUGGCUCCUGGCUGAGCCAUCGUAGGAAGAAAAUAUCCUGCAAAACAAGCAGAGAUGAUAUAGGUGUAGGGGAUGCCUUGAGCCUCAAUUGCUCUGCGGAUUUUAGCUUUUUCGGCAAAGUUAGUUUUUGCAGGCUCCACGACAUUUGUACGAUCCACAUCAUUUCCGAACUCUGAGGGAAUGAAUCUCUGUAAUCAUGAGCGAAAGCAAGGCACAUCAAAAAAAAUAAUUCAGGAGUGGAUUAGAAAAUAUUGGGAAAUAUAGGCGAACCUUGACGUUUCCAGCUUCUUUAAUAGCAUCAAGAAUCUUGGAUUGAUCAAGUAUCUGUCCGAAAGUCACCGCUGAGAUGACCACGUCCACUUGCUUAAUGGCCUUUACUAAACUCUCAUGAUCAUGGAGAUCUCCCUGCACAUACCAAAUGAAAUUCAACUAUAUACAAAUAAACAUGUUCAUUUGUGGACAGUCGAUUUUAACAUAAAUUGGCCUUACAUAGACGACUGUAACUCCGGAGNUGGCGCACUAUGUAACUCCAUACAAGGAGUCACUCUCCGGAAUGUUGGCCGACAUAUGUAUGCCACAACAUAAUGGCUGUAGACCUCCAAAAUCAUAAACUGAUAUAUUUCGACAAAAUCAGUGUAAAAAAGACAAGCCAAUAAGCCAUACUUUGCGAUCAAUGGUUCAAUGUCACACAUAAAGUGUAAACAACAUCAACAUAAAAACAUUAUAAACUCAAAUAAAGAUAACAUACCAAACCAUGAGCAGGCUGUUUUAUAUCCAGUACUGACACUACUAGAGAACUACAGAGUACAAAGCGCACACACGCAUCCUUUAUUUAUUUUACUAAGAAACAUGACAAGUAGAUCAUCAUAGUAUUAUGAAUGAAGCUCAAACAAACUGCUGGAGGUAUUCGUCAACGGUUGUGUACUUGACAUCAGGGUAGAGCUGAGAAGCCUCGUGUCCAAAUGAAGCCUCUAUCUCGAAAUUGGUUUGAUCUCCCUUAACAAAUACCGCAUGGCUGAUUGAAAUUAUCAAAUUCAUCGGUGGUGCUGACCCUGCAAAAUUACAUAAAAAAACCACAAACAAGUUCGGAUCAUGUUUCUGAUGCACUGAUAAUUUGGUAGUCGUUUGAUGGUUCUAGCUCUGUUGUCAUGUUAUUUCUAGAGGCUACUCACCUUGGAUUUGGUUUAGAACAUGCUCCUCUGGAACAUGAAUCUUUUCAAGAACCUUGUCGAUCUUCUUCUCCCACAAGGUAACUAGAUCGUUGAAGGAGUGGAUAUUGUGAGGAGGCUUGAUGUAGAGGGACUUGUUAACGGUUCUCGGGUCGUCCACUGUUUUAAUAGUGUAGGUGGCAAUAUCUUGUUCCAAGUUAAACACAGCUGCAACCCAGGAGAAACAGAAUUAUAGCCUUUCCCAAAUCAUGUUUAUUGAUACCUAAAGUCAUAAAGAAAAUAUUAGACAGAGUCACGGUACCUUUGGCACUUCCAUCUCCCAGGAUCACGACUUUGUCUCUCGGUGGAGCAGUGGCUCCUGGCUGAGCCAUCGUAGGAAGAAAAUAUCCUGCAAAACAAGCAGAGAUGAUAUAGGUGUAGGGGAUGCCUUGAGCCUCAAUUGCUCUGCGGAUUUUAGCUUUUUCGGCAAAGUUAGUUUUUGCAGGCUCCACGACAUUUGUACGAUCCACAUCAUUUCCGAACUCUGAGGGAAUGAAUCUCUGUAAUCAUGAGCGAAAGCAAGGCACAUCAAAAAAAAUAAUUCAGGAGUGGAUUAGAAAAUAUUGGGAAAUAUAGGCGAACCUUGACGUUUCCAGCUUCUUUAAUAGCAUCAAGAAUCUUGGAUUGAUCAAGUAUCUGUCCGAAAGUCACCGCUGAGAUGACCACGUCCACUUGCUUAAUGGCCUUUACUAAACUCUCAUGAUCAUGGAGAUCUCCCUGCACAUACCAAAUGAAAUUCAACUAUAUACAAAUAAACAUGUUCAUUUGUGGACAGUCGAUUUUAACAUAAAUUGGCCUUACAUAGACGACUGUAACUCCGGAGGCUUUAAAGCUCUCAAUGAGCUUUCCUUUGACAGGGUCUGAAACUGCACUUUCUCUCACCAAGGCAAACGUCUGAUGGCCUUGUUUUGCAGCGGCUUCCACCAGGAAUUUGCCAAUGUAUCCGGUAGAUCCGAUGACUAAGAUCUUGCUUUUCUCUGCCAUGAUCUCUAUGUUUGAUUUAUGUGUAUACUUAGCUCCUAUAUAGUUUGAAGGUGCUUAGAAAGUUUUAUAGUCUUGGUUCGGAGAAGCAACUUAUCUAUUAUAUAGAUCAAGAUCAAAUGUCGAUGAUCUAGGUAAUGACAUCACUUAAAGCUAAUUGUCAACGUUAGUAUUUUAAAUGUACGGUAGCAUGUGAAUUCUUAUUAAGGACGAGCAUUGAGCAAUAUGGAUCGAAUCGAUUGACCAUAUUGGCAUACUGCUAAAAUCAAAGCGAAUAACAAAUUCACAAGUUCAUGACGAGGCUUCGCAGUAGCAAAACUAUGCCUGCAGUUGACUCAGGGUAAAAUUUAACCCAGUCGGUUGCUUUUAGUUGCAGCUUUUCUAUUUAAAUAUCCUGGCUUCAAGUCCAAUUAACGCUCAAGUCCGAUGUUAUAAAAGGUGAAGAGAAGACCUGAUUGAUGGAGGUAGGGUUUAAAGAAUAAUAAUAUACAUCUCUUCUACAUAUUCAUUUUUGAAUCAAAUUGAAAAUUUUGUUUUAACAAAAUAUAAUAAAUACAUAUAAAUUUAAAUAUAAUCAUCAAUCUGGACAUAUUCUAACACAUAAAAAUAAAAUCAACAAAUAUUUAUUUGAAAGAUGAAAAGAAAAAUGUUAAUUUCAUAGGCCAGAUAUGAUUUUAGCUUCCUCCCGAAACAAAAGUUCUCAAAAUGAUGAUCUUAACAAGUCGUGCGCUCUUGUUUAGUUCCUUCUCGUCCCAUUCACAUGUUAUCCCCAAAUGUUACAAUUACAUGAUAUCGAUCAAGUCUAAAAAUUCCUCAACUCAAAACGGGAAGCCAGCAGAAUUAUGAAAUUAUAGUGAUAUGAAACAUACAAGGAACUAGUGAUAGAACGUUUCCGAUAUCAAUAUUUAGUCAAUUAUAAACUGAUCAAACCAGUGUACAAACACAAGCCAACACUAUAGGGGCUGUUUGGGAAAAUUUAAAAAAAUGAUUCAUUGCUUAAAGUAAAGAAGUGUGUUACAAGUGAAAAUUAAAUAACUUAAUAAAGUGUUUGGAAAAUAAACAGAAAUUUUGAGAGAGAAGCGUGCUUCUCCUUAUUUACACAAACGGAUCAAGAAAAAUAGAAACCAGAAACAGCUUAUGCUUAUUCAAUACAAACAGACCCUAUGUAUGGGAUUAAUGUCAUACAAAAAGUCCAAACAACAUCAAACAUAAAAAAUGAUCAUCAUAUAAAGAUAAAUAGCCGGCCUUUAGGUAUUGAUUAGUGACUACCAAGUACAAAGCGCACCAUUUAUUUAUUUUGCUAAGAAAUAUUACAAGUAGACUAUCACAGUCUUAUGAAUGAAGCUCAAACAAACUGAUGGAGGUAUUCGUCAACGGUUGUGUACUUGACAUCAGGGUAAAGCUGAGAAGCCUCGUGUCCGAAUGAAGCCUCUAUCUGGAAAUUGGUUUGAUCUCCCUUGAUAAAUACCGCAUGGCUGAUUGCAGACAUAAAAUCCAUCGGUGGCGGUGUCCCUGAAAAUAACAUAAAAAAAUCACACAAAUUCAGAUCAUGUUUUCCGAUGCACUGAUAAUUUUGGUAGUAGUUUGAUCCAAGGUCCAGCUCUGUCAUGUCAUGUUAUUUCAAGAUGCUACUCACCUCCAAUUUGCUUUAAAACAUGCUCCUCUGGAACAUAAGUCUUUUCAAGAACCUUGUCGAUCUUCUUCUCCCACAAGGCAACUAGAUCAUUAAAGGAGUAGAUAUUGUGAGGAGGCUUGAUGUAGAGGCUCUUGUUCACUGUUCUUGGGUCGUCCACUGUUUUAAUGACGUACGUGGCAACAUCUUGUUCCAAGUUAAACACGGCUACAAUCCAGAAGAAACGAAAUUAUAGUCUUGCCUACAAUAUGUAGCUACAUUAAUUAGUUGCUCAUAAUGAAAAGAAGUGACAGAGACGAUACCUUUUGCAGUUCCAUCUCCCAGGAUAACGACUUUGUCUCUUGGUGGAGCAGUGGCUCCUGGCUGAGCCAUGGUAGGAAGAAAAAUUCCUGCAAAACAAGCAGAGAUGAUAUAGGUGUAGGGGAUGCCUUGAGCCUCAAUUGCUCUGCGGAUUUUAGCUUUCUCCGCGAAGUUAGUUUUUGCUGGCUCCACAGGAUUUGUACGAUCCACAUCAUUUCCGAAUUCAGAGGGAAUG